This 253-nucleotide ribosomal RNA is filed under the name uncultured archaeon. RNAcentral's name for it is "partial 16S ribosomal RNA". It matches the Rfam family "Archaeal small subunit ribosomal RNA", at positions 474 to 727 of the family's 1478-position model. The record is from RNAcentral.
UACCAGCACCCCGAGUGGUCGGGACGAUUAUUGGGCCUAAAGGAUCCGUAGCCGGUUCUGCAAGUCUUCCGUUAAAUCCACCUGCUCAACAGAUGGGCUGCGGAGGAUACUACAGGGCUAGGAGGCGGGAGAGGCAAGCGGUACUCAGUGGGUAGGGGUAAAAUCCUCUGAUCCUCUGAAGACCACCAGUGGCGAAGGCGGCUUGCCAGAACGCGCUCGACGGUGAGGGAUGACAGCUGGGGGAGCAAACCGG